This 448-nucleotide ribosomal RNA is filed under the name uncultured bacterium. RNAcentral's name for it is "bacterial SSU rRNA". It matches the Rfam family "Bacterial small subunit ribosomal RNA", at positions 64 to 507 of the family's 1533-position model. The record is from RNAcentral.
GAGCGGAUGACGGGAGCUUGCUCCUUGAUUCAGCGGCGGACGGGUGAGUAAUGCCUAGGAAUCUGCCUGGUAGUGGGGGACAACGUUUCGAAAGGAACGCUAAUACCGCAUACGUCCUACGGGAGAAAGCAGGGGACCUUUGGGCCUUGCGCUAUCAGAUGAGCCUAGGUCGGAUUAGCUAGUUGGUGGGGUAAUGGCUCACCAAGGCGACGAUCCGUAACUGGUCUGAGAGGAUGAUCAGUCACACUGGAACUGGGACACGGUCCAGACUCCUACGGGAGGCAGCAGUGGGGAAUAUUGGACAAUGGGCGAAAGCCUGAUCCAGCCAUGCCGCGUGUGUGAAGAAGGUCUUCGGAUUGUAAAGCACUUUAAGUUGGGAGGAAGGGCAGUAAGUUAAUACCUUGCUGUUUUGACGUUACCGACAGAAUAAGCACCGGCUAACUCUGUG